UAUAUAUUUAAUAUUUCCUGGACACCUUAAGUUCUGGACCCCAUUACAAAUCCUUCUUUUGGGGCCUCCCUGGCUUCACCCUCCUACAGAUCCCCCCUUUCAGAUAUACAACCCCUUUAUAAUCAUAUAAAAGGACAAGGGGUGAAGAUCUCAUCUUCUUAUAGCUACUUCUGGCUGGACAUGGAUGUCGUCCUACCUACCCUUUGGUCAGGGGUUUUCUGAAAGAAGGCGAGGUGGGUGCAGCCAAGAG
This is a long non-coding RNA of Phyllostomus discolor (pale spear-nosed bat), 250 nucleotides long. RefSeq lists it as uncharacterized. The record is from RefSeq and is a predicted model, not a curated record. Lineage: Eukaryota; Metazoa; Chordata; Mammalia; Chiroptera; Phyllostomidae. The transcript has 4 exons.